Molecule: non-coding RNA, 929 nt
Organism: Heterocephalus glaber (naked mole-rat)
Lineage: Eukaryota; Metazoa; Chordata; Mammalia; Rodentia; Bathyergidae
Source: RefSeq, a predicted model, not a curated record
GCACAGAAUAAGUGCCAAUAAAUAUUUGUUGAAUUGAUUUUCCUCUUCAAAGAUGUGGCAGAAAGACCCUCCUGCCUUAUGGACAUAAUUCUUUUGUGCAGCGGUUAUUGAAUUCCUUCUGCAUGGAUAUUGGUUGCAUCAGCCAAUACAAGAUGUCUUUCUUGUGUUUCCUGAUGUGGAAACCAGACCCUGCUCUGUGAUGGAGUCUCCUGAUGUUGACCAGCCUCUUCCUGCCUCCCUACAGCAAGGUGGGGUCCUCCCUGAUGAUGACAGCAAGAUGCAAGUUAAGACUAUAAACCCUGUGUGGUGAGGAACUCUGUCCAUGUUACUCAGAACUGUAUCCUUUGUUCCUUGAGGAGUGUUUGUACAGAGAUAAUGCCUAAGUCAUUUCUAAGGGGAUGAAGAGCAGCUUUAUGACUUAGAAGGAAAUGUAGAGAACAGUUAAUGUGGAUUUAAAUUUAGUGAAUGCAAGCUUAUUUAACUAGAAUUUGCUGCUGGUGUAGAAAUGAAAGCUACCAGGUCAUCUUGAGGAUUGAAAUGUGGAAAGAAACACCAGACAUGAAGAACAGAUAAGAAAUUUGUGAAUUUUGAGAAGGGAGAGAUUUGUUUUCCAUGUCUUCUAAAGGGCUGACCUCAUUUGUGGUAUCCCAGAAUGUGGAACCCAGACCCAAAGAGAAGUAUGGUUUGUGCAAUCAAAGAUUUUCAGAAAUGGAAUGGGCCUGCUCAGGAGGUGGUGAGUUCUUUGACAUGGUCAAUAUUCAGGAAGAGGUGGGGUGAAUUUGUGGUGGAUGGACUGAAAAACUGGGAUGUUAGACAAGAUAUAAUGUGGUCACUAUGGUUUCAUUUAAUCCUAACCUGUAUAGCUCCAGAGGCAAAAUCAUAAAUAAAUAAAUAAAUAAAUAAAUAAAUAAAUAAAUGGAAUGUGAGUG